AUGCCCCCGGCGCCCGACGAGUUCGUGGUGGAGCUUAAGCACUGGACGACUCCCUUGUGCGCCGCCGAUGGUGACGAGGUCGAGGUUGGGGAGCUUGCCCCAAUGUCUCCGCCGGCGGGAUUUGUCUCGCGCGAUGCGCAACUUCAACCUGGUUUCGUCGUGGGUGAGGCCCCGACCCUGCAGUCGCCUCCAGCCGCCUCUAGUCGCCGCGAGGACGCUAUCAAGGACAUGUCCCUACAGCCGCCUCCAGCCACCGCUCAAGGCCUCGAAGUUGGUGCGGAUCCCCGGUCUCUAGAUCUGGUAACUCGUGGCGCUGGCAAUGUCUGCAUCCAGGAGAUGGCGCCGCAGUCGCCCGCAGCUGGUGAGGAGGGCUCCUGUCGUGGUGUUGCUCACGUGUCGUCGAGCGAUUCCGCGCCGCUUCCUUGCGAUCCCGCAGAGACGGUGGACAUGCUGCCAGGGGAUGGUCCCUGGAUCUCCGUGGGGAGAAAGCGUCACUGUGACCGUGAGCUCUGCAGCCAAGCUUCUGAUGUCUUGGCCAGGAGUGGUGCGAGACUUGUGCAAGCUGCUGACUUCAGGCGUCGAACUCACGGCCGUUGUUUCCGUUGCUUGGCUCCAGACCACAAGGCUGCCUCUUGUCGUGACCCAAUUCGAUGCCUCGCCUGCCUGCGCUCUGGGCACCGUGAGAGGGACUGUCAUCGUCGUCGCAUUUCCUCCGUCAGAGCUCGCCGCAAUGCGCGUGCCUCCCCAGCUCCGCCUUCUCCUUCCUCAUCCGGACGCUCUUGGGCUUCCGUUGUUGCCCCCGCAACGAACGCCCAACCUCCAGAGUGUGCGAUGUCUUCUGAAGAUCCUAGUGAAGCUUGUGAUGGUUAUGAUGUUGUGGCAAGGUCCGCUGACGCUUUGCUUGCACCUUUUGCCGUUGAGCUGCAAUCCAUGGUGGCGAAGGCGCUUCGCCCUUUGAGCUUGUUGGUGGCCCGUGCAACCAGCUUAUUGGAGCAGGCGGAGGUCUCCAGUGAUGACAAGGGGUCGAUCCAAGCCUCUUUGCAGGGACCCUGCUUCCCUGACUCGGACGCUCAUGGCUCGAUGUUGACUGCGUUGGCGCCGUUGGUGGCAAAAGAUGGGGACCAAGGUGUCGAGGGCAGCAUGGACACUGAGUGUAGUGUGGCCAUUUCUUCCGCGGGCGAAGUGAGGGAUGUUGAUGAGGGAUGCGCCUUGGCGACUGAGAGCGAGGGCACUUUGCAUGACUUCGCCGAGCUGCUCACAGGUCUGACUCCAAUCAUCCAGGGUUUGUGUCGCCUGGUCAAUGCGAAGAAGAUCAAGAAGGUCAACCAGCAGAUCAGGCCCCCCUUGGGGGACAACCCUACAAGAUGUUAG
This 1371-nucleotide ribosomal RNA is filed under the name Triticum aestivum (bread wheat). Its description in RNAcentral is "partial small subunit ribosomal RNA". The record is from RNAcentral. Lineage: Eukaryota; Viridiplantae; Streptophyta; Magnoliopsida; Poales; Poaceae.